RNAcentral lists this transfer RNA (73 nucleotides) under Pseudomonas phage D6. It matches the Rfam family "tRNA". Rfam says of the family: Transfer RNA (tRNA) molecules are approximately 80 nucleotides in length. Their secondary structure includes four short double-helical elements and three loops (D, anti-codon, and T loops). Further hydrogen bonds mediate the characteristic L-shaped molecular structure. tRNAs have two regions of fundamental functional importance: the anti-codon, which is responsible for specific mRNA codon recognition, and the 3' end, to which the tRNAs corresponding amino acid is attached (by aminoacyl-tRNA synthetases). tRNAs cope with the degeneracy of the genetic code in two manners: having more than one tRNA (with a specific anti-codon) for a particular amino acid; and 'wobble' base-pairing, i.e. permitting non-standard base-pairing at the 3rd anti-codon position. The record is from Rfam by way of RNAcentral. Lineage: Duplodnaviria; Heunggongvirae; Uroviricota; Caudoviricetes.
GGGUCAUUAGUUCAAUUGGCAGAACACCGGCCUCCAAAGCCGGGUGUUGGUGGUUCGAGUCCAUCAUGGCCCG